GACGAACGCUGGCGGCGUGCUUAACACAUGCAAGUCGAACGGAAAGGCCCUGCUUUUGUGGGGUGCUCGAGUGGCGAACGGGUGAGUAACACGUGAGUAACCUGCCCUUGACUUUGGGAUAACUUCAGGAAACUGGGGCUAAUACCGGAUAGGAGCUCCUGCUGCAUGGUGGGGGUUGGAAAGUUUCGGCGGUUGGGGAUGGACUCGCGGCUUAUCAGCUUGUUGGUGGGGUAGUGGCUUACCAAGGCUUUGACGGGUAGCCGGCCUGAGAGGGUGACCGGCGACAUUGGGACUGAGAUACGGCCCAGAGUCCUACGGGAGGCAGCAGUGGGGAAUAUUGCACAAUGGGCGGAAGCCUGAUGCAGCAACGCCGCGUGCGGGAUGACGGCCUUCGGGUUGUAAACCGCUUUCGCCUGUGACGAAGCGUGAGUGACGGUAAUGGGUAAAGAAGCACCGGCUAACUACGUG
This 468-nucleotide ribosomal RNA is filed under the name uncultured bacterium. RNAcentral's name for it is "partial 16S ribosomal RNA". It matches the Rfam family "Bacterial small subunit ribosomal RNA", at positions 28 to 507 of the family's 1533-position model. The record is from RNAcentral.